Long non-coding RNA from Panicum hallii, 698 nucleotides. RefSeq lists it as uncharacterized. The transcript is spliced from 4 exons. The record is from RefSeq and is a predicted model, not a curated record. NCBI's taxonomy places the organism in Eukaryota, Viridiplantae, Streptophyta, Magnoliopsida, Poales, Poaceae.
GAGACCAAAUCGUCAAGCUCUUUCUGGAUUCUAGUUGUGCCACGUAGCCUCUGGAGCAGGAUCUUUGCCUCAUCAAUGUUGCCAUCACGUUGGAUUAUGAAGCUGGGUGUCUCAGGCAGGAAUACUGCGCCCAGUGUUAGGAAUGCAGCUGGCACAGCUGCCAGGGAGAGAGAGAUUCUCCAGCCCCAUCCAUCUGCAAUUUUCUCGACUCCAAAGUUGAUGAGGUUUGCGAUGAGGAUGCCGAUGCUUAUGCAGAGCUCAAAGCCAUUGUUGAUGGCCCCACGGUACUGGGGUGGCGCCAUUUCUGAUAGGGAGCAUGAAUGUCCCUUGUAGAUUAAGAAUCUGGAAAGGUCUGAUGAUAAUAUCAAGUGCCUGGGGCAACCUGCAUGUUUUGUUUCUUUUUGCAAAAGCAGCAGGUAAUAAAUUAAAGGAACCACAUGAAUAUGGGUAGUCUGUGCCACUUGCCGAUGUUGACAAGGACAGAAGAGAGGAUGAGCAAUUCGCAUUAUAUUGGUUGUGGCUGCUGGCUGGCUGGCUGGCGUGAAGUAGCGAUGAGGAUCCUGUUGAGGAGGAGCAUGUAGACGUUGACGGCUGCCCCGCCGAAGACGGAGCCGACGACGAAGACAGUGCCGCCGAUGAGAAUGGAGGCGCGGCGGCCGAACCUCCUUGUGACGGAGGAGGCGAAGAGCGUUGCGACG